Molecule: ribosomal RNA, 429 nt
Filed under: Chloroflexota bacterium
Lineage: Bacteria; Bacillati; Chloroflexota
Description: Chloroflexi bacterium partial 16S ribosomal RNA
Rfam family: Bacterial small subunit ribosomal RNA
Source: RNAcentral
UGGGGAAUAUUGCACAAUGGGCGCAAGCCUGAUGCAGCCAUGCCGCGUGUAUGAAGAAGGCCUUCGGGUUGUAAAGUACUUUCAGUCGGGAGGAAGGUGGUAAGGUUAAUAACCUUGGCAAUUGACGUUACCGACAGAAGAAGCACCGGCUAACUCCGUGCCAGCAGCCGCGGUAAUACGGAGGGUGCAAGCGUUAAUCGGAAUUACUGGGCGUACAGCGCACGCAGGCGGUUGAUUGAGUCAGAUGUGAAAUCCCCGGGCUUAACCCGGGAAUUGCAUCUGAUACUGGUCAGCUAGAGUCUUGUAGAGGGGGGUAGAAUUCCAUGUGUAGCGGUGAAAUGCGUAGAGAUGUGGAGGAAUACCGGUGGCGAAGGCGGCCCCCUGGACAAAGACUGACGCUCAGGUGCGAAAGCGUGGGGAGCAAACAGG